This 459-nucleotide ribosomal RNA is filed under the name uncultured bacterium. Its description in RNAcentral is "partial 16S ribosomal RNA". It matches the Rfam family "Bacterial small subunit ribosomal RNA", at positions 338 to 795 of the family's 1533-position model. The record is from RNAcentral.
CCUACGGGUGGCAGCAGUGGGGAAUAUUGGUCAAUGGUCGGGAGCCUGAACCAGCCAAGCCGCGUGAGGGAUGAAGGUACAGCGUAUCGUAAACCUCUUUUGUGUGGGAACAAAGGCGGGGGCGCGUACCCGGAUGAGAGUACCUGACGAACAAGCAUCGGCAAACUCCGUGCCAGCAGACGCGGUAAUACGGAGGAUGCGAGCUUGGGCGGGAUGUAUUGGGGUUAAGGGGUGGGAGGCCGGUCUGUAAAGUCAGCGGUAAACGCCCGGGGUCCAACCCCGGCCCGCAGUUGAAACUGGCAGUCUCGAGUUGGAGAGAAGGAUGCGGAAUGCGCGGUGUAGCAGUGAAAUGCAUAGAUAUCACGCAGAACUCCGAUUGCGAAGGCGGCAUACCGGCGCACGACUGACGCUGAAGCACGAAAGCGUGGGGAGCGAACAGGAUUAGAUACCCUGGUAGUC